GUCGCCUCCUAAAAGGUAACGGAGGCGCUCAAAGGUUCCCUCAGAAUGGUUGGAAAUCAUUCAUAGAGUGUAAAGGCAUAAGGGAGCUUGACUGCGAGACCUACAAGUCGAGCAGGGUCGAAAGACGGACUUAGUGAUCCGGUGGUUCCGCAUGGAAGGGCCAUCGCUCAACGGAUAAAAGCUACCCCGGGGAUAACAGGCUUAUCUCCCCCAAGAGUUCACAUCGACGGGGAGGUUUGGCACCUCGAUGUCGGCUCAUCGCAUCCUGGGGCUGUAGUCGGUCCCAAGGGUUGGGCUGUUCGCCCAUUAAAGCGGUACGCGAGCUGGGUUCAGAACGUCGUGAGACAGUUCGG
RNAcentral lists this ribosomal RNA (353 nucleotides) under Staphylococcus aureus. Its description in RNAcentral is "partial 23S ribosomal RNA". It matches the Rfam family "Bacterial large subunit ribosomal RNA", at positions 2282 to 2634 of the family's 2925-position model. Lineage: Bacteria; Bacillati; Bacillota; Bacilli; Caryophanales; Staphylococcaceae. The record is from RNAcentral.